This is a small nucleolar RNA of Dendrobium catenatum, 107 nucleotides long. The record is from RefSeq and is a predicted model, not a curated record. NCBI's taxonomy places the organism in Eukaryota, Viridiplantae, Streptophyta, Magnoliopsida, Asparagales, Orchidaceae.
AGAGUAAGACGAGGACAUUUCUUAAGGAAUUCUUUAAAGCUAUGUCAUUAUUCAUAAGUAGAUUUUCCAUCUAAUUGGAUAAAAUAAGUGAUAUCAUUUAUAAACUU